UACGGUCACAGUGACUGGAAUGUCUUGUGCUGAAAGCGAAUCCACGACCGCUCACGAAAACGGACUCUACGCGACAGUGUUGCCGGUCAGUUGUUUAAUAUACCGUUCGUCACUGAAAAAUACCAGUUUUGUAUAACGAAAUAUACCAAAAGAAUAUCCCAAACGAUUACGGUCACAGUGACUGGAAUGUCUUGCUGCACAGCCGAAGCGCACUUAUAACUCUGGGAUUCCCUAUUUUCAAACUUACCCAACUCGACGAAAAAGUGAUGAGCUUGCACUCCAAGACUCCAAUAAACCGGCACUCAAGAACUUUUUAUGCUUUUCGUGGUUUUCUACGAAAUAUAAACAACACUUGAAGAGAACCGCCAGCGAACGAGUACGACAGCUGCAUGCGCCCUGGCAUUCGAGUACCUAAUGAAGCGGCCAAGCAAAAAUCGGGGCCUGACAGACCCUAAAACCCAAACGUCACUUUCCCCGCCUACUGGGGUUCCCAACCAAAAAAGACUACCAUCCAAAAUCUCAGAAACGGGCACUUUUCGAAACAUUUAUUUGGGCAUUAUAUACUUCAAUUUCAUUAAACACAUAUUUCGGUCGGGUUUAGCUUGAGAUUUUCUUUAGCGUUCAACUCAAUUUUGA
Long non-coding RNA from Drosophila subpulchrella, 636 nucleotides. RefSeq lists it as uncharacterized. The record is from RefSeq and is a predicted model, not a curated record. The transcript has 3 exons. NCBI's taxonomy places the organism in Eukaryota, Metazoa, Arthropoda, Insecta, Diptera, Drosophilidae.